RNAcentral lists this ribosomal RNA (424 nucleotides) under uncultured bacterium. Its description in RNAcentral is "bacterial SSU rRNA". It matches the Rfam family "Bacterial small subunit ribosomal RNA", at positions 359 to 776 of the family's 1533-position model. The record is from RNAcentral.
GAAUUUUGGGCAAUGGGCGAAAGCCUGACCCAGCAACGCCGCGUGAAGGACGAAAUCCCUCUGGGAUGUAAACUUCGAAAGUCGGGAAAGAAAUCGGACAGGAUCAGACCCUGUGCGGAUGACGGUACCCGACGUCAGCCCCGGCUAACUACGUGCAAGCAGCCGCGGUAAUACGUAGGGGGCCAGCGUUGUUCGGAAUUACUGGGCGUAAAGGGCGCGUAGGCGGCACAGCAAGUCGGGAGUGACAGCCCGGGGCUCAACCCCGGAACUGCUUUCGAAACUGCUGAGCUAGAGUGCGGAAGGGGCAACCGGAAUUCCCAGUGUAGCGGUGAAAUGCGUAGAUAUUGGGAAGAACACCUGAGGCGAAGGCGGGUUGCUGGGCCGACACUGACGCUGAGGCGCGAAAGCCAGGGGAGCAAACGGG